This 254-nucleotide ribosomal RNA is filed under the name uncultured bacterium. RNAcentral describes it as "partial 16S ribosomal RNA". It matches the Rfam family "Bacterial small subunit ribosomal RNA", at positions 524 to 776 of the family's 1533-position model. The record is from RNAcentral.
CACGUAGGGUGCGAGCGUUGUCCGGAAUUAUUGGGCGUAAAGAGCUCGUAGGCGGUGUGUCGCGUCGGCCGUGAAAACCUGCAGCUUAACUGUGGGCUUGCGGUCGAUACGGGCAUCACUGGAGUUCGGCAGGGGAGACUGGAAUUCCUGGUGUAGCGGUGAAAUGCGCAGAUAUCAGGAGGAACACCGGUGGCGAAGGCGGGUCUCUGGGCCGAUACUGACGCUGAGGCGCGAAAGCGUGGGGAGCAAACGGG